This 429-nucleotide ribosomal RNA is filed under the name Verrucomicrobiota bacterium. Its description in RNAcentral is "Verrucomicrobia bacterium partial 16S ribosomal RNA". It matches the Rfam family "Bacterial small subunit ribosomal RNA", at positions 355 to 776 of the family's 1533-position model. Lineage: Bacteria; Pseudomonadati; Verrucomicrobiota. The record is from RNAcentral.
UAGGGAAUCUUCCGCAAUGGACGAAAGUCUGACGGAACAACGCCGCGUGAGUGAAGAAGGAUUUCGGUUCGUAAAACUCUGUUGUUAGGGAAGAAAAAAUGUAUAGUAACUAUAUACAAAAGAGACGGUACCUAACCAGAAAGCCACGGCUAACUACGUGCCAGCAGCCGCGGUAAUACGUAGGUGGCAAGCGUUGUCCGGAAUUAUUGGGCGUAAAGCGCGCGCAGGUGGUUUAGAAAGUCUGAUGUGAAAGCCCACGGCUCAACCGUGGAGGGUCAUUGGAAACUAAUAAACUUGAGUGCAGGAGAGAAAAGUGGAAUUCCUAGUGUAGCGGUGAAAUGCGUAGAGAUUAGGAGGAACACCGGUGGCGAAAGCGGCUUUUUGGCCUGCAACUGACACUGAGGCGCGAAAGCGUGGGGAGCAAACAGG